RNAcentral lists this ribosomal RNA (465 nucleotides) under uncultured bacterium. RNAcentral's name for it is "bacterial SSU rRNA". It matches the Rfam family "Bacterial small subunit ribosomal RNA", at positions 329 to 792 of the family's 1533-position model. The record is from RNAcentral.
CGCCAGACUCCUACGGGAGGCAGCAGUGAGGAAUAUUGGUCAAUGGGCGAGAGCCUGAACCAGCCAAGUCGCGUGAGGGAGGACGGCCCUACGGGUUGUAAACCUCUUUUGCCGGGGGACAAACGGCGGCACGCGUGCCGUCCUGAGGGUACCCGGAGAAAAAGCAUCGGCUAACUCCGUGCCAGCAGCCGCGGUAAUACGGAGGAUGCGAGCGUUAUCCGGAUUUAUUGGGUUUAAAGGGUGCGCAGGCGGUCUGUUAAGUCAGUGGUCAAAGCCCGGGGCUCAACCCCGGCCCACCGUUGAAACUGGCAGUCUCGAGUUGGAGAGAAGUAUGCGGAAUGCGCGGUGUAGCGGUGAAAUGCAUAGAUAUCGCGCAGAACUCCGAUUGCGAAGGCAGCAUACCGGCGCCCAACUGACGCUGAAGCACGAAAGCGUGGGUAUCGAACAGGAUUAGAUACCCCAGUA